Molecule: ribosomal RNA, 394 nt
Filed under: uncultured bacterium
Lineage: Bacteria
Description: partial 16S ribosomal RNA
Rfam family: Bacterial small subunit ribosomal RNA
Source: RNAcentral
AUACGUAGGGGGCGAGCGUUAUCCGGAAUUAUUGGGCGUAAAGAGUACGUAGGUGGUUUUGUAAGCGUGAGGUGAAAGCCCGGGGCUUAACUCCGGCGAGCCUCACGAACUGCAAGACUUGAGUGCAGGAGGGGAAAGUGGAAUUCCUAGUGUAGCGGUGAAAUGCGGAGAUAUUAGGAGGAACACCGGUGGCGAAGGCGACUUUCUGGACUGUAACUGACACUGAGGUACGAAAGCGUGGGGAGCAAACAGGAUUAGAUACCCUGGUAGUCCACGCCGUAAACGAUGAGCACUAGUUGUUGGGACCGAGAGGUUUCGGUGACGCAGUUAACGCAAUAAGUGCUCCGCCUGGGGAGUACGCACGCAAGUGUGAAACUCAAAUGAAUUGACGGGG